AUACUGAGGGUGCAAGCGUUAAUCGGAAUUACUGGGCGUAAAGCGCACGUAGGCGGUUUAUUAAGUCAGAUGUGAAAGCCCUGGGCUUAACCUGGGAACUGCAUUUGAGACUGGUAGGCUAGAGUAUGGUAGAGGAUAGUGGAAUUCCGGGUGUAGCGGUGAAAUGCGUAGAUAUCCGGAGGAACAUCAGUGGCGAAGGCGACUUUCUGGCUAGAUACUGACGCUGAGGCGCGAAAGCGUGGGGAGCAAACAGAAUUAGAUACCCCUGUAGUCC
This 274-nucleotide ribosomal RNA is filed under the name uncultured bacterium. RNAcentral's name for it is "partial 16S ribosomal RNA". It matches the Rfam family "Bacterial small subunit ribosomal RNA", at positions 523 to 796 of the family's 1533-position model. The record is from RNAcentral.